UACGUGAGGGGCGAACGUUGUUCGGUGUCACUGGGCUUAAAGGGCGCGUAGGUGGUUGCGUAAGUAACGUGUGAAAUCCCUCGGCUUACCCGGGGAAUUGCAUGUUAUACUGCGUGACUUGAGGAUCAGAGGGGAAUGGGGAACUCCAGGUGUAGCGGUGAAAUGCGCAGAUAUCUGGGGGAAGGCCGGCGGCGAAGGCGCCAUUCUGGCUGAUUCCUGACACUGAGGCGCGAAAGCGUGGGGAGCAAGCAGG
Molecule: ribosomal RNA, 253 nt
Filed under: uncultured bacterium
Lineage: Bacteria
Description: partial 16S ribosomal RNA
Rfam family: Bacterial small subunit ribosomal RNA
Source: RNAcentral